Molecule: long non-coding RNA, 549 nt
Filed under: Elaeis guineensis (African oil palm)
Lineage: Eukaryota; Viridiplantae; Streptophyta; Magnoliopsida; Arecales; Arecaceae
Description: long non-coding RNA (EGUI_LNC052375)
Source: RNAcentral
GCAGGUUAAAAGGACUUAAAUUUGGAGCAAAUCGGAUUAAAAACCGAUCCUAAAUGAAGCCUCAAAUCGAAGCCAAAAUCAUAGUCAAAUUGGGCCCAAAAUUAAGCCAAAUUGGACUCAUACCCAAUCCAAUUAAGCCCAAAUGACCGCUUAACAUAUGGUGAAUUGCCCGAUCGUCCACAAAGUUUUUGUCGUGGUCCACAAAACAGUCGCCCGAUAUUUGUCGCGGUCCACAGAGGCGGGGCUGAGUUGUGCACAAACGAUGGCUGAGGCUAGGUUUUGCACAAGAUCAGACGGCCAGUAGAGCUUAGUUUUAUAUGCUUCAGUGGUGGCCGAUAUCCAUUGCGUGAUCAAACGGUUAAGAAGUAUCUAGGGGCAUGAUCCAACGGUCGGUACUCAUUGCCGGCUGGAGAAUGAAAUGGAGAAGCCUUUUAUACGAUCGGGGGGUCCAAAUCCAAUCUUAGGCUUGAUCCAACAGACAGCAUUAAUCCUAAUUUGAUUUAGGAUUGUUUAGGCUUGAUUUUGGGUGGUGGGAUGCUAAUCUGAUGA